RNAcentral lists this ribosomal RNA (468 nucleotides) under uncultured bacterium. RNAcentral describes it as "partial 16S ribosomal RNA". It matches the Rfam family "Bacterial small subunit ribosomal RNA", at positions 28 to 507 of the family's 1533-position model. The record is from RNAcentral.
GACGAACGCUGGCGGCGUGCUUAACACAUGCAAGUCGAACGGAAAGGCCCUGCCUUUGUGGGGUGCUCGAGUGGCGAACGGGUGAGUAACACGUGAGUAACCUGCCCUUGACUUUGGGAUAACUUCAGGAAACUGGGGCUAAUACCGGAUAGGAGCUCCUGCUGCAUGGUGGGGGAUGGAAAGUUUCGGCGGUUGGGGAUGGACUCGCGGCUUAUCAGCUUGGUGGUGGGGUAGUGGCUUACCAAGGCAUUGACGGGUAGCCGGCCUGAGAGGGUGACCGGCCACAUUGGGACUGAGAUACGGCCCAGACUCCUACGGUAGGCAGCAGUGGGGAAUGUUGCACAAUGGGCGGAAGCCUGAUGCAGCAACGCCGCGUGCGGUAUGACGGCCUUCGGGUUGUAAUCCGCUUUCGCCUGUGACGAAGCGUGAGUGACGGUAAUGGGUAAAGAAGCACCGGCUAACUACGUG